CUCCAUGAUGCUGUGCUCUUGUAUACGAUGGGAAUAAAAGAAGUCCUCAAAGAUGGCAAAGAUCCUCAUGACGGACAGGAGCUUCUUUUGAGACUGAAAAACAAACACAACAUUAGAUUUUACGGUGCUUCUGGUUUGGUCCAUUUUGACGAAGAUGGCGAGAGAAACUUGGACUAUUCCAUUUAUGACCUGCAACACAUCGGAGACGCCACCAAGUUUGUUCCCGUUCUCAAUUUCGAAAGCCAAACCAAAAGAGUAAGAUAUUGCUCUGCUGGCCUUGUUAGUGUCUUUCCCCUGUAUUGGAGUGCUG
Molecule: long non-coding RNA, 310 nt
Filed under: Neogobius melanostomus (round goby)
Lineage: Eukaryota; Metazoa; Chordata; Actinopteri; Gobiiformes; Gobiidae
Description: lncRNA (ENSNMLG00000001150.1)
Source: RNAcentral